AUACGUAGGUGGCGAGCGUUAUCCGGAAUCAUUGGGCGUAAAGAGGGAGCAGGCGGCCGUGAGGGUCUGUGGUAAAAGACUGAAGCUCAACUUCAGUGAGCCAUGGAAACCGGACGGCUGGAGUGCGGCAGAGGAUCGUGGAAUUCCAUGUGUAGCGGUGAAAUGCGUAGAUAUAUGGAGGAACACCAGUGGCGAAGGCGACGGUCUGGGCCUGCACUGACGCUCAUUCCCGAAAGCGUGGGGAGC
This 246-nucleotide ribosomal RNA is filed under the name uncultured bacterium. RNAcentral's name for it is "partial 16S ribosomal RNA". It matches the Rfam family "Bacterial small subunit ribosomal RNA", at positions 523 to 769 of the family's 1533-position model. The record is from RNAcentral.